This 274-nucleotide ribosomal RNA is filed under the name uncultured bacterium. RNAcentral's name for it is "partial 16S ribosomal RNA". It matches the Rfam family "Bacterial small subunit ribosomal RNA", at positions 523 to 796 of the family's 1533-position model. The record is from RNAcentral.
AUACGGAGGGGGCUAGCGUUGUUCGGAAUUACUGGGCGUAAAGCGCGCGUAGGCGGCUUAUCAAGUCAGGCGUGAAAGCCCCAGGCUCAACCUGGGAACUGCGCUUGAUACUGGUAGACUAGAGGCCGGGAGAGGGUAGUGGAAUUCCCAGUGUAGAGGUGAAAUUCGUAGAUAUUGGGAAGAACACCAGUGGCGAAGGCGGCUACCUGGACCGGACCUGACGCUGAGGUGCGAAAGCGUGGGGAGCAAACAGGAUUAGAAACCCCGGUAGUCC